ACGAAGGGGGCUAGCGUUGUUCGGAAUCACUGGGCGUAAAGCGCACGUAGGCGGAUGUGCCAGUCAGGGGUGAAAUCCCGGAGCUCAACUCCGGAACUGCCUCUGAUACAGCACGUCUUGAGUUCGAGAGAGGUGGGUGGAAUUCCUAGUGUAGAGGUGAAAUUCGUAGAUAUUAGGAAGAACACCGGUGGCGAAGGCGGCCCACUGGCUCGAUACUGACGCUGAGGUGCGAAAGCGUGGGGAGCAAACAGGA
Molecule: ribosomal RNA, 253 nt
Filed under: uncultured prokaryote
Description: partial 16S ribosomal RNA
Rfam family: Bacterial small subunit ribosomal RNA
Source: RNAcentral